Molecule: long non-coding RNA, 291 nt
Organism: Melanotaenia boesemani (Boeseman's rainbowfish)
Lineage: Eukaryota; Metazoa; Chordata; Actinopteri; Atheriniformes; Melanotaeniidae
Exons: 3
Source: RefSeq, a predicted model, not a curated record
AGCCAGAGAGCAUGUGUUAUUAGCACACACUCAUACGCUCUGUGGUGUGUCCUGUCGCUGCUCGUGACUCAGCUGUCAGUCGGGCUUCUGUCUUUGUCACCGUCGGACUGCUUUCCACAGCCAAGAUGAUGGAUGAGGAGUCCACCAAACGGUACGUCUGGACCAGUGACGACGAGCUGCAGCAUAAACCGGCUCAGCGAGGGAGUAAAGUCCAGGAUGGUCUGGAGGAGAGAGAGAUCACCGUGCUGCCGCGGAGGACGACGGAUGACCCGGGUGACUCCGUUGGGGUGA